AUGGACAUCCUCAACGGAUGGAUGGGCGGGAGGAUGCUGAUCAGAGUUCGUCGUCUCCCAUCGAUGGCUGAGGCUGGAAGGCUGUACACCUACAUCAAUACUCUGGGCGGUUUGGUCGCGGUGGUGAACAUCGAGGUGCUCAAGAUGGUCUCUGAUCUUGAGGGCCUUAUUGAGUUCAAGGUUAUAAAGUCAACUAUACCAACCUUGAGGGAGCACCCACAGCAAGCCGCGGCAAGAGGCUAUCUGGCCAAGCAGGGUCGCCAGCUUGUUGGGUGGGGCAUCCAGAUCGGGGGAGAGUUCAGGGCCCGUGCCGAAGCAGUCGGCAACGCCAUGCAGGUGCACUCGCAACUCGUCAACGAGCCGCCCUACUCUGCCGCCCUCAACAACCUGCGCAAGACCAUUAACACUCUGCUAAACAGUCUAGUCACUUUGGCCUAG
RNAcentral lists this ribosomal RNA (438 nucleotides) under Triticum aestivum (bread wheat). RNAcentral's name for it is "partial small subunit ribosomal RNA". The record is from RNAcentral. Lineage: Eukaryota; Viridiplantae; Streptophyta; Magnoliopsida; Poales; Poaceae.